AUUGAACGCUGGCGGCAUGCCUUACACAUGCAAGUCGAACGGCAGCGGGCCUUCGGGUGCCGGCGAGUGGCGAACGGGUGAGUAAUGCAUCGGAACGUGCCAUUGAGUGGGGGAUAACGUAGCGAAAGUUACGCUAAUACCGCAUAUUCUGUGAGCAGGAAAGCAGGGGACCGCAAGGCCUUGCGCUCUUUGAGCGGCCGAUGUCAGAUUAGCUAGUUGGUGAGGUAAAGGCUUACCAAGGCGACGAUCUGUAGCGGGUCUGAGAGGAUGAUCCGCCACACUGGAACUGAGACACGGUCCAGACUCCUACGGAG
This 314-nucleotide ribosomal RNA is filed under the name uncultured bacterium. RNAcentral describes it as "bacterial SSU rRNA". It matches the Rfam family "Bacterial small subunit ribosomal RNA", at positions 30 to 347 of the family's 1533-position model. The record is from RNAcentral.